This is a non-coding RNA of Chiloscyllium plagiosum (whitespotted bambooshark), 522 nucleotides long. The record is from RefSeq and is a predicted model, not a curated record. NCBI's taxonomy places the organism in Eukaryota, Metazoa, Chordata, Chondrichthyes, Orectolobiformes, Hemiscylliidae.
CUUUGUACAGGUGACCCAGAGGGUCACACAGUGACAGGAGACCGUCAGCACACAUCAGUCCCGGAAAACACAGGCAGCCUGGGGCCCAGCAUCCAGCAGCCCCUGGGCACAGAGCAAGGCCAGCAGGACAAUGUUAUUGAGGAGGUAGGUUCCGUUGACCAAUCAAAGGGCUCUGAUGAGGACAUUCCCGGCAGCACAGAUGGCAAUGACCUUUCCCAAAUCCUGGGAGAUCCCGAAGCUGAGAGUGAGCUCCCGGCUCCACCCAAUGGGGUACCUGGCCCCGAAUCAGUGGGCAAGCCCGUUGAGGAGAUCGGGAGCGGCGUCCUCCUGGACGAGAGUCCCGCACUACGCCAGCGACGUCACGUGGGGACUCCGGCCGUUAAAACCGGCCUGAGACCGCCCCCAGCUGGUGAAGAGGAGGACGACAGUGGAGGCCUCACCCUGAACAAGUGCCUCUUGGUGGCCCUGCUGCUGGUGGGGGUCGGUUUUGGGAUUUUUGGUAAGUUCUGGGCCUUCCCUCAA